RNAcentral lists this ribosomal RNA (460 nucleotides) under uncultured bacterium. Its description in RNAcentral is "partial 16S ribosomal RNA". It matches the Rfam family "Bacterial small subunit ribosomal RNA", at positions 338 to 795 of the family's 1533-position model. The record is from RNAcentral.
CCUACGGGUGGCAGCAGUGAGGAAUAUUGGUCAAUGGGCGCGAGCCUGAACCAGCCAAGUAGCGUGAAGGAUGACUGCCCUACGGGUUGUCAACUUCUUUUAUAAGGGAAUAAAGCGCCUUACGUGUACCUUUUUGCAUGUACCUUAUGAAUAAGGAUCGGCUAAAUCCGUGCCAGCAGCCGCGGUAAUACGGAGGGUCCGGGCGUUAUCCGGAUUUAUUGGGUUUAAAGGGAGCGUAGGCGGGUUGUCAAGGCAGCUGUGAAAGUUUGGGGCUCAACCGUGGACUUGCAGUUGAUACUGGCGGCCUUGAGUACGGGGGAAGUAGGCGGAAUUCGUGGUGUAGCGGUGAAAUGCUUAGAUAUCACGAAGAACUCCGAUUGCGAAGGCAGCUUACUGCAGCGCAACUGACGUUGAUGCUCGAAAGUGUGGGUAUCGAACAGGAUUAGAUACCCGAGUAGUC